RNAcentral lists this transfer RNA (65 nucleotides) under Dipodomys ordii (Ord's kangaroo rat). It matches the Rfam family "tRNA". From Rfam's summary of the family: Transfer RNA (tRNA) molecules are approximately 80 nucleotides in length. Lineage: Eukaryota; Metazoa; Chordata; Mammalia; Rodentia; Heteromyidae. The record is from Rfam by way of RNAcentral.
GGUGGCUCAAUGGUAGAGCACUUGCCUUGCAUGCAUGAGGCCGUGGGUUCAAUUCCUCAGCACCA